GGAUAUGCAGAGAAGGGAAUUGCACGAGAAGUCUCUAAAGUUGGAGGCAGAUCUUCGAAAGGUGGAGGCUAUGCACGGUGAGCUUCAUCACAUUUUUGCUGAUAUUAGGACCUUAGUGAUGUGAGGCAAGAACAUAGAGGUCGUAUGCGAGGAAUGACUCAAGAUUUGGCUAGGUAUAAUGCAGACUUGCAACAAUUUCCUGCUCUGAGGGUAGAAGUCGAGAGCAUGAAGCAGGAAUUGCAGAGUGCACGAGCUGCUAUUGAG
Molecule: unclassified non-coding RNA, 264 nt
Filed under: Hevea brasiliensis (rubber tree)
Lineage: Eukaryota; Viridiplantae; Streptophyta; Magnoliopsida; Malpighiales; Euphorbiaceae
Source: RNAcentral